GUCCAAUUUAAAGUUUGCAUUAUAACGACUGCAUGACGACAGCGAAAUAGCAAACAUUUCUUGAUUUGAUGAGUUGAUGAUUGAUAAAUUUCUUAUUCUUCAUUUUUGCUCGUAUUUCUGCAAGAUUUUGUAAAUUUCAAGAAAGAAAGGGCGAAAGAAUCAGCUAAAAGAAGGGAGCCCACGUUAACGAAGGUAAGUUUGUUUUAAAUAUUGAUUUUAUAAUGGC
Paramuricea clavata is the source of this 226-nucleotide non-coding RNA. The record is from the annotation of a GenBank genome assembly. Lineage: Eukaryota; Metazoa; Cnidaria; Anthozoa; Malacalcyonacea; Plexauridae.